Molecule: long non-coding RNA, 966 nt
Organism: Onychostoma macrolepis
Lineage: Eukaryota; Metazoa; Chordata; Actinopteri; Cypriniformes; Cyprinidae
Exons: 4
Source: RefSeq, a predicted model, not a curated record
UGAUAUAGAUAUUGAUGUUGACUACGCUGUAAAAAAUUGCUGUAGUUUCUACAGCAAAAUUUUACAGAAUUUUACUGUUUAAACACUUUACAAGAUGUAGCUGUAAUUCGCAAUGCAUUGUGGGUCAAAUGAGGUUUUACAGUUGUUAGCAGUAUAUUUCCAUGUCAACUGUAAUUAAUUUACAAGAAGCAGGUGUUAUCACUGUAGCUCCUGCUUCUUACACUACUUUACUCUAGUGUGGCAUUAUGGGAUUGUGCGCGCAUCGUUCAAAUCUGAAAUCCAGCCGACUGGAGCAGUGCCAGAACGAUUGAAGAUUAGAGGCUUUAUUCAUAAUUCCUGGUGCAAAGAAUAGCAGCUGAUGUGGAGAAAUGUUUGAUGCUUCAAGACUCUCUGAAGCUGAUUAUAUUAGGUGCACCCAGUGGCUUUUGACUAGGCCUAUUCGAGGGUCACAUGGUUGUGAAUUCAUACCUCAACUUUGCGGCUGGAUUUUCAGUCUUAUUACAACUUCAGUCUGGCGUCCCGGGAGCAGGCGUCUUUUGCACACUUGAAUUAUUUCAAAAGAUGUUUUGUUGGAAUCACAACACUCACUGGAUACAAGACGGAUACACAGAGGCAAAACAAGUGGAAAGGUCUCAGAGAAGAGGGACAACCCUCAUGUGUGUCCUCAUCUCAGAAAGUUGAUGGACUUUCAGUAUGUAUUUAUUAAAUUGUCUUUUGCAGGAAUAUUCUAAAUUUAAUAUAACAAGCUCAAACAACAGAAUUUGUGGUAUAAUGUUGAUUCCAGCAUUUUAUUUGAAUCCUUUUUUAACCAAAAUUGUACAAAUUCUGUUGAUUGACCUUAAUUUUUUAUAGAAAGUUAAUGUUCUACUCAGAAUAUGGCUUAUUUUUUGUGAUAUAUUUUGUGAUGCUAUGUUAAUUUUAUGAUAAGAUUCUAACUGUUGAAAGACUGACAUUUUUAUUUUUUUU